UACAGAGGGGGCAAGCGUUAUUCGGAAUUAUUGGGCGUAAAGGGCGCGUAGGCGGGAUGGCAAGUCGGUCGUGAAAUCCCUCGGCUCAACCGAGGAACGUCGAUCGAUACUGCUGUUCUUGAGGAUUGCAGAGGAGACUGGAAUUCCCGGUGUAGCGGUGAAAUGUGUAGAGAUCGGGAGGAACACCGGUGGCGAAGGCGGGUCUCUGGGCAAUUCCUGACGCUGAGGCGCGAAAGCGUGGGGAGCAAACGGG
Molecule: ribosomal RNA, 253 nt
Filed under: uncultured bacterium
Lineage: Bacteria
Description: partial 16S ribosomal RNA
Rfam family: Bacterial small subunit ribosomal RNA
Source: RNAcentral